AUUAAAAAAAAAAAAAAAAUCCUCUCUCAUGGUUCCUGUGACCAUCUGAAUUAUAUGAGAGAGAGCUCCUGAAAUAUGAAGACCAGAUGCUCAAGUACUUGCAGUUCUGUUCUACAAAAGAACACCACACUUUUGUGAUUGUUGACUUGGUAACAUAUCUGCAAGAUGGGAUAGGAAGGGACGACGUGCAAGCAAGAACUUCUUGUUUAGAUAAGGGAUUGAAGCUUUAUGAGAAUGAUAUGAUGUUUCAAGAACAGGAAAAAGAGAAUGAAAAAUGCAUUCCUAUCUAAAUUUUAUUGGAAAAAACCUAAACAGGAGUCGAUUGCAGUCCUAGCAAUCCCUUCAUUCUGUCACCAUAUUCCUAAAUGUCCAUGCUUUCCAUGGAGCUUGGCAAUGUCAAACUUAAUAAAAGUGAUGCACAGAGUAAGAAAAUGGGAAUUUACCGUUUCUUAGAUACAAGAUCACUAAGCAAGUGCUACCAUUCCCCGCACCUCAACCCCUAAUCACCAAGAAAGAGAGAACGCUUACAAUCUGCACCAUUUUUUAUUCAAACUUACACAAUGGUGCGCUGAAAUCUUUCAUUCUGUGGAAGCAACGCCACUCAUUUGCAUCUUCAGGCUUCUGGGAGCUAUGUCAUUCAACUUGCCUAGUGCUGGUAGGAUGGAAUAGGCACUCCUGACUCUUCUGUCAGCUUUUUGUAAGCAUUUUGCAACCUUUGAGUCACGGGACCCACUUUACCAUCACCGAUUUCACGUCCAUCAAUCUUCACAACCGGGGUAAGCUCUCCCAUGGUUCCUGUUGUCCAUACCUCAUCUGCAGUAUGGAAUUCUGAUAGACUAAUUCUCCGUUCCUCUAGGACCAAAUCCUCCUUUACCACUAGAUCCAUAACAGCAGCUCGAGUGAUUCCAGGAAGGCAAUAAUCAGCUUGAGGUGUAAGAACCCGGCCUUUCUUCACUAGAAAAAUAUUUGUAGCAUUUGUUUCAGACACAUAACCAUCCUUGUCUAGCAUAAUUGCAUCACCUGCGUCUGCAUUAUUCCCUUCUAUCUUAGCUAGAAUGUUAUUGAGGAGGUUAUUGUGAUGAAUCUUUGAAUCCAAAUUAUUUGGUGAAUUACGCCGUGUUGUAGCAGUCACCAGAUUUAUUCCAUGUGUAUUGUCAUAGACAGGUGGUUUCCAUUCAGGAAGCACAAUUAAAGUGCAUCCAUAAAGAUUAAAUGCUGGGCUCAUGCCUGAAGUGACCUUCUUUCCACGAGUAAGGGAUAGUCGGAUGUGUGCAUUAUCAAACAUUCCAUUCCUAAUUAGAGUUCUGAAGAUGGCUUCCUUAACCUCUUCACGAGUUGGAACAUUCUUGAAAGCUAGAGCCUUUGCCGAGUCAAACAACCUAUCCAAAUGCUCUUCAAGCUUAAAUAUCUUCCCAUUGUAAACUCGAAGGCCCUCCCAGACUGAAUCACCACCUUGGACAACCGAGUCAAACACAGAAACCUGAUACAAGUCACAAGAAACGGAGUGAAAGUGACACUUCUUGAACAGGGGAUCCAUAUUUUUCCUACAAUCACAUACCUUGGCACUUUCACGGGGUAGAAUCUCAUCUCCAACCCAGGCCAACAGCUUUUCAUUUGCAGGAACUGGAAUAUCUGGAGGGGGUAAAGGGCUCUUCAAAAGGGCGGUUGUCUUUCUUACAUGCCGCCGAAGCAUAUUGUACAAAGGUAGACUUUUCUCCAACAAGUCAUAUAGAGAAAAUGGAAAUGGCUGAGGAUACUUUCUUGUUUGAUUGAAGCCUGUUGAUUGAUGUACACUUUUGUACCACCAUGGGGCCCAAACACCAUCUAUUGGUUUUGGACCAGCUUCCCAUCUGAGCAUUGCAUCAUCAAAAGGAAUCUCCAAGUCUUCACAAAGACCACACAAGGUACCCUCAGGAUCUUGUUGAAGGUCUGCUGCAUCAAUAACAACUGGGGGCUUUCCCAACUGAGAGAGGUCACUGUAUAUGGAGACCAAUUCUGCCAAACCUAAUUCAAGAAAGGAUGGAGGCACAACCUUCUCAAAAGAUGGCAAUAUAUCAAGUGGAUUGCGUAUCAAUAUAACGUGCUUUCCUUUCUUCAUCAAAUCAUUGGGCAGACCAGGUAAAUGUUGCUUUGCCAUAUGCUUACAAAACCGAUACUUCUUUUCUCCUGGUCCAAAGAUAACCUCUUUUACAACCUUAUUUGCAUCAGAUUCCAUUUUGGACAGAACCUCUUCCCUGUAGGGCCUCUCCACACCUGUUACCUUUAGAAAAGUUGCAUAUAGAGGUUCAUCAAGCACUUCCGUAUCAUCCCUCUGAGCAAAAGAGUACAUGAGAGAGGUACUGAGGGAUCUUGGAGCAGACCAUGAGUGGAUGACCUCUACCUCUCCUUGCUUUUGUCCUCCCAUUUUCUGAAAGAUUCUUGUUUAGCGUUCUGGGCGUGUGAGAGAGUGCUGUGCUGUGGAUUAAUAAUGAAUGCCUAAGUGGUUGAGUGAGAGAGUUGCACAUAGCAUACAAAACAGCUCUAC
Molecule: unclassified non-coding RNA, 2524 nt
Filed under: Hevea brasiliensis (rubber tree)
Lineage: Eukaryota; Viridiplantae; Streptophyta; Magnoliopsida; Malpighiales; Euphorbiaceae
Source: RNAcentral